ACUUGACCACCUACAUAUCUACUACUACACAUGAUUAUCGGCCCCUUUCCUUAGCCAUGCUUCUCUUCAAGAUUCAUUUACGUUUCUUUUAAUGGAAUGUUGUUUAUAUAUAAAAGUAAGUAAAUAAAUAAAGGUCCCGUACCAUUUUAAAUUCGUAUCUUCCUUAGAGUGGGCAGCUUCCAGAUCAGUCAAUAAUGAAUCCCCAUACCCACAAGUCAGAUAAGCAGGCAGCAGCUGCAACCUCCUACACUUCUGGCUGCAACCUCCUACACUUCUGGGUGGCGACAAAUUCCUACGAAGUCAGAUACCCACAAGUAUAUAUAUGUGUGUGUGGUGCAUAGAAUGAAAUAAAUCACACUCAAAAUGAGUAUAUUCAACGAUAGUAAAGAGUGGUAAUGGACACUUGAGCUAUGGUCAAAGUAGAGAUGGAGCAAAGUGAUCUAACUCAUCUUAAAUUAGAAGUGAGAUUAUUAUAAAUAAGUUUUGAGAAAAGAACGUCUCAAAAUCCUUAUAUCGAUUAGCAUAACACUGUCUUCGAUGCACAUCAUCGACUGACUGAGUCAAGCUGCCCACCUUCUACUUUCCUAAAACAAUCAAUGACAUUCUCCCAUUAUCA
Molecule: long non-coding RNA, 616 nt
Organism: Cucurbita moschata (crookneck pumpkin)
Lineage: Eukaryota; Viridiplantae; Streptophyta; Magnoliopsida; Cucurbitales; Cucurbitaceae
Exons: 3
Source: RefSeq, a predicted model, not a curated record